This 295-nucleotide ribosomal RNA is filed under the name Arthrobacter sp. Its description in RNAcentral is "partial 16S ribosomal RNA". It matches the Rfam family "Bacterial small subunit ribosomal RNA", at positions 831 to 1125 of the family's 1533-position model. Lineage: Bacteria; Bacillati; Actinomycetota; Actinomycetes; Micrococcales; Micrococcaceae. The record is from RNAcentral.
UCCACGUUUUCCGCGCCGUAGCUAACGCAUUAAGUGCCCCGCCUGGGGAGUACGGCCGCAAGGCUAAAACUCAAAGGAAUUGACGGGGGCCCGCACAAGCGGCGGAGCAUGCGGAUUAAUUCGAUGCAACGCGAAGAACCUUACCAAGGCUUGACAUGGACCGGACCGCCGCAGAAAUGUGGUUUCCCCUUUGGGGCCGGUUCACAGGUGGUGCAUGGUUGUCGUCAGCUCGUGUCGUGAGAUGUUGGGUUAAGUCCCGCAACGAGCGCAACCCUCGUUCCAUGUUGCCAGCGCG